This 301-nucleotide ribosomal RNA is filed under the name uncultured bacterium. RNAcentral's name for it is "partial 16S ribosomal RNA". It matches the Rfam family "Bacterial small subunit ribosomal RNA", at positions 509 to 808 of the family's 1533-position model. The record is from RNAcentral.
CAGUCGCCGCGGUAAAACGUAGGUCCCGAGCGUUGUCCGGAUUUAUUGGGCGUAAAGCGAGCGCAGGCGGUUAGAUAAGUCUGAAGUUAAAGGCUGUGGCUUAACCAUAGUACGCUUUGGAAACUGUUUAACUUGAGUGCAAGAGGGGAGAGUGGAAUUCCAUGUGUAGCGGUGAAAUGCGUAGAUAUAUGGAGGAACACCGGUGGCGAAAGCGGCUCUCUGGCUUGUAACUGACGCUGAGGCUCGAAAGCGUGGGGAGCAAACAGGAUUAGAUACCCCUGUAGUCCCUGUCUCUUAUACC